RNAcentral lists this transfer RNA (63 nucleotides) under Criotettix japonicus. RNAcentral's name for it is "tRNA-Leu". The record is from RNAcentral. Lineage: Eukaryota; Metazoa; Arthropoda; Insecta; Orthoptera; Tetrigidae.
ACUAUCUUGGCAGAGUUAAUGUGUUAGAUUUAGAUUCUAUAAAUGUAUUUUAUACAGAUAGUA